Long non-coding RNA from Lolium perenne, 1279 nucleotides. RefSeq lists it as uncharacterized. Lineage: Eukaryota; Viridiplantae; Streptophyta; Magnoliopsida; Poales; Poaceae. The record is from RefSeq and is a predicted model, not a curated record.
UAUAAAAACCCCUCCUUGGCCGGCCACCUCCCCCUUUGCUCUCAUUUUUGCUCUCUCCACUCACACCCACUCCCUCCCCUCCUUCUCCCACGAGCUGCUGCCCCUCCUUGCUUGCAUGGCCGGCCAUGGCCAUGGAAACCUCUCCAAGAUGCAACUCCCUCCUCCCUCAAGCUUUCCCUCACCAUGAGAGCCUCCCUCUCCAUCUUCUCCCCAACCUUAGAUGGUUUAAUCUCCUCUUCUUCUUCCUCCAUUGCUAAGAUUGGAUCUUGAUGCAGGUGCAUGUUGGUCCAAGCAUGGAGAAGCAUGAGCAAUCCUGAGAUCUGAAGUUCUUGAGCAAAGUUCGUCCAAAUCCCUGCAGUAAUUUCUGUAAUCUUGCUGUUUCAGAUUCUGGUACGAAGUUGUAAAAUCCACCAAAUCUCGUGCGCUGAUCCAAAUCGAGUGAUUCAAAGUUCCGCAGAUAGAUACGGAAAAGAUCUACAACUUGGCGUUGGUCUCAUCCUCAAAUUCGUUACGGAUUGUCCGUGGUGAAAGCCCUCUUCAAUACCUUCAUUUUGGCGGUGGUUUCACUUCGAUUGACCUCUUGAAACUGAAAUGGUUCACAGAUCAAGAUCUGAUCAGAUCUGACUUUGUCGAAUUAAACCAGGAGCUUGGGAAUGAAUUUUUGAAUGAAACCAAUUGGGGGAUACUUAGUUGUGCCAUGGUGAUACCGAGAGAGGCAAUUGCUAAGUUAUGAUACUCUCAUACCUUUACUAGAUGCGAACGAUUCCGGAGAAGAAGAAGAAGUGGUUCGGACAAGGAUUUUAUUUAUAUUGACGGGAUUCUUAUAUUGAUGAAGUUGAAGAAGUCCAGGGACAAAUAAGCCAAGUCAAGCCAUCUUUUGAUCUCUGAUAUGAUGUCUCUUUGGAUGUCAUCUUGUGCUAUCAAUAGCAUCUUGGUUCUAUGUGUGAUGAUCUCCAUAUUGUUGUCAUCUAUGCUUGGAUGCAAGCAUGGUACCUCUAGUAGUUUUAUCUUGUCAAGGUCUUGGUAAUUGGUUGGGUGUAUGGUAUCAUGGCCAUUGCUAUCCAACUUGCUUUCUAUAUUUAGCUUGAAUAUGUUCCACCUCGGGACAAGAUUCAUACUACACCCCCUUCUAGUGUAGAUGUAUCAAUACCAUGUUUUUGGUGUAUUCUCAAAUUGUGAUGAGUAUGCCUGUUUUCCCUUAAUGGUGUUGGUGUUGGUCAAUUCUCAUCCCUAUCUAUCUAUUGAUUGGGUUAGAUAGCACCACAAAUCUGAAAGUAUA